Long non-coding RNA from Polypterus senegalus (gray bichir), 415 nucleotides. RefSeq lists it as uncharacterized. The transcript has 4 exons. Lineage: Eukaryota; Metazoa; Chordata; Cladistia; Polypteriformes; Polypteridae. The record is from RefSeq and is a predicted model, not a curated record.
AACAAACAGAAGGCAGCGGAGAGGCACCAUAUGGCUCUGAAAGAGCUUAAAUUUCAGAUGGAUAAACGUCUGGAAGAUGAAACUUUAGGCACAUUCAAGCACGACAGAAAGCCUUAAUGCUUGAGAAGGAACAGGCUUUAAAAAUUGCAAGUUUGUCACCUGUAUUGCCAGACCCUAUUGAAUGUCUUGAUGUGCAGAAACAACUUCAUGUGAAACGGUAUGAUGCUGACUAUUCCCUUAUCACCAUCUGCCAGAGAUCUCUGUGGACAGAAAAUAGUGCAGGACAGAGCCACUUGCGGACUCAUCUGUUGGAACCCAAGAUGAAGAGCUAAAUGUGACAUUAGAACCAGAGGCAGCAGCUGGCUCUAUAGAAGACUUUGUGGAAAGUGAGGAAGAUUAAGAUCUCCAGAACAUC